UACGGGGGGGGCAAGCGUUGUUCGGAAUUACUGGGCGUAAAGGGCUCGUAGGCGGCCAACUAAGUCAGACGUGAAAUCCCUCGGCUUAACCGGGGAACUGCGUCUGACACUGGAUGGCUUGAGUUUGGGAGAGGGAUGCGGAAUUCCAGGUGUAGCGGUGAAAUGCGUAGAUAUCUGGAGGAACACCGGUGGCGAAGGCGGCAUCCUGGACCAACACUGACGCUGAGGCGCGAAAGCUAGGGGAGCAAACAGG
RNAcentral lists this ribosomal RNA (253 nucleotides) under uncultured bacterium. RNAcentral's name for it is "partial 16S ribosomal RNA". It matches the Rfam family "Bacterial small subunit ribosomal RNA", at positions 524 to 776 of the family's 1533-position model. The record is from RNAcentral.